This 580-nucleotide long non-coding RNA is filed under the name Musa acuminata (dwarf banana). Its description in RNAcentral is "long non-coding RNA (MACU_LNC001971)". Lineage: Eukaryota; Viridiplantae; Streptophyta; Magnoliopsida; Zingiberales; Musaceae. The record is from RNAcentral.
UACUGCUAAAUGCUAAGCAUGUUUCAGAAAACCAAUGCCUUCUCAAGUUCCAGAGCAAGAAUCCUCCACAGCCACCUCUUCAGAUGAAUCAUAUGCCCUGAUGACGCUCUUGUUUACAGUGUAUUACACAUGAGCUAAAUGCUGCAUCUAAGUGGACAUGCUCUUGUACAGCAUUAAGGGUAUCACAACUCUACCAAAGUCCAGGGGUGCUGAAGACAUUGGACAAUUAAUCCUCUAUUUUACUUGUAAAAUUUUAAUGUCUCGAGAACCUAUUGGUCGCAAUGCCUAGUAACUUGUGACAAAAUAUUGGAAUAAUUUUGACAACAAACAAUCAACUAAUACAGUUUCUUGUCCAAUUUAGUAUCUCCAUCUUGUUUUGAACUACUACUGCUUGGGUAAGCUGAGGAUUUUGAUCUGUUGGACUCCAAGAGCUGUGUAUGUAGAAAAAAUUCUUGUGAGCUCAUUUCAUUAGAAAAUCUAAAUUAAGAUUUGAAAAUAAUUCAUCAAACCUUCUAGGUCCUACAGCAGACAACAGAUUAUGCAAAAAAUGCAUCAGUAGUUGCACUUGGAUACUAGAUUC